CACACGACUCUCGGCAACGGAUAUCUCGGCUCUCGCAUCGAUGAAGAACGUAGCGAAAUGCGAUACCUGGUGUGAAUUGCAGAAUCCCGCGAACCAUCGAGUCUUUGAAUGCAAGUUGCGCCCGAGGCCAUUCGGCCGAGGGCACGCCUGCCUGGGCGUCACGC
RNAcentral lists this ribosomal RNA (164 nucleotides) under Elymus sp. JZ-2012 x Kengyilia melanthera. RNAcentral describes it as "5.8S ribosomal RNA". It matches the Rfam family "5.8S ribosomal RNA". Rfam says of the family: 5.8S ribosomal RNA (5.8S rRNA) is a component of the large subunit of the eukaryotic ribosome. It is transcribed by RNA polymerase I as part of the 45S precursor that also contains 18S and 28S rRNA. The record is from RNAcentral. Lineage: Eukaryota; Viridiplantae; Streptophyta; Magnoliopsida; Poales; Poaceae.